Molecule: ribosomal RNA, 150 nt
Filed under: uncultured eukaryote
Lineage: Eukaryota
Description: partial small subunit ribosomal RNA
Rfam family: Eukaryotic small subunit ribosomal RNA
Source: RNAcentral
CCCUGCCUUUUGUACACACCGCCCGUCGCUAGUACCGAUUGAAUGGCUUAGUGAGACCUCCGGAUUGGCAGCUCGUGGAUGGCAACAUCUGCAAGUAGUCGAGAAGCUGGUCAAACUUGGUCAUUUAGAGGAACUAAAAGUCGUAACAAG